RNAcentral lists this long non-coding RNA (2368 nucleotides) under Brassica napus (rape). RNAcentral's name for it is "long non-coding RNA (BNAP_LNC003242)". Lineage: Eukaryota; Viridiplantae; Streptophyta; Magnoliopsida; Brassicales; Brassicaceae. The record is from RNAcentral.
CUUGAUCUGUAAUAUGUCUUCUGAGGUUGCUUCACGUCCAGGAAAGUCACUGUUAUUAAUGAACAAUACUCAUUCAAACUGAAGUUACAAAAGGAAAAAAAAAAACAGUUUAGUGAUUAUUCUUAGCUAGCAUAUCAAACAUCUAUGAGACUCCUUUCAAGUAAUCAUUUUGAUAAGUACGUAGAUUUUAGACUUUUAAGUACUUACGUUAUCUGAUCACAAUCGAAGAAAAAAUGUUGAAAAAUAAAUGAAGAAAAAAGUGGCAUAGAGUGCUUACUUAAUUAGCCUCUAUGAUAAUAUCAUAGUAAUUAUUACAGUACAUCUAUUUUAACUUCUUAUAUCCAGGGAGGACGGCGUAUGACUAAUAUUGAUAAGCUCAUACAUGAAUUUAUGUGGAGACUGAAACUAUUUUAGACUAAAUGUGUUUGCAUUGAUUACAUAAGAUGUAAAAACUAAAAGUCGUUAUUAUUAUCAUUAUGCAUAUAAAUAAACAAUAAUAUGACAAUGUGUGUGUCUAUAUAUGGUAUAAAUACUUGUAGAAGCUCAGUUGCGUGAUCUCAAGUUCUCAACAGUGUUACAGCUACGAUUGAUUGUUGAUGCUUAAUCUAUAAUUAGAUAAAAUUAUGUUAACAGUGUUUUACAUAAUCAAAAUUAAAGCUAGCAAAAGGAGAUCACUAGCAUGUAAAUGUUGGAAGAGGGAUGGUAAGCAUGCCAACCAACAAUUCUCUUCAUGCAAACUAGUUUACUUAAUUAUAUAUGACAAUAAUAUAAUUUCACACCAUGUUUAUGAAUUUGAAUCGUUGUCUUGUUUGACCUAAAAUAUCCUUCCUCACUGAAAGUGCAAGUUCUUAAAAAUCAUUAUCCCAAAACCAGGGCCGGUCUCGAGCAUAGGCGAGGUAACCGACCGCGUAGGGCAUCAUAUUUUAAGCGAAAAAAUUUAGUUGUAUAUAAGGCAUAAAUUUUUUUUUACAUGAAUAACAAAGGCAUAAAAUUUUAAAUGAGCUUAGGGCAUCAAGAAAAAAUUGAGAAUGUUGGACCGGCACUGCCCAAAACUGAGCCAAGCGCGACAACGGGAAAUGUUUUUUUCCCAAUAUAAUUAUAUCGUGCUAAACUAACAAAAGGACUAAAUAGUUUAAGAUAAGAAAUUAUUUUAUCAAUAUUUAAUAGCAUCUCCAUCAGUGGAGAUUGUAAUUUGGGGUACUUAACAUAAAAUAAUAAUAUUUUAAUAUGAUAUUUAUAUACUUUAAUUUAAUUAUUUUAAAUAAAUAUUAACAAACUAAAAAGAAACAUGUGGCAGUACAGUUUAGGAACCAAUUCUAAAAAGAGGGUUUAAUGGCGUACCUCCGAGCUCGAUAACCUAGGUAGAUUUUUAAAAUUAUUUUAACUUUUUUUUAGUUAAAAAAAAAGUCAAUCGCGGGGUUUUAUUUGGCGGUAGAAUCCGUGCACAGUAACAAACCUGAUCUUUAUCUAAGGAUUAUUUUGACAAAAGUCUUUAAGUUUAGUAGGUCCCACACGAUAUUAUAUUGAUUAAUCCCUAAAGAUUUUUGGGUAAGGAUCCCCAUUGGACAUGCCCUAAAGAACCUCAACUAUUUCUCAUUCUUACUUUUGUGUAUUUAUAUUAGAGUCUUUAUAUUAUUACUUUUUGGUUAGGAGUUAUUUAAACAUCCUACAUCCUACCGAUGGAGAAGGUCUAAGACCACCUCCAACGGUGGCUCUGACCACAGGUUCUAAAAAAAACAAAAAAAAUAAAUCAAAAAUGAGAUAAAUGAGCAAAACCGGUUCUAAAUAUAACACUUUUAGAAUCAGUAAAAACCCCAUAUGUGCCUCUUUGUUAUUGGUUAAAACAAAAAAGCAGAAAAUCUGACCUUCUCUUUCUUCCUCUUCGUUAAUGUCUUUUUUUUGUUUUUCUGAGAAAUUGGUUCGUCGAUGUUCGUAGAUAUUUUGAAAAAUCUUUCCAAAUCAUCACAUGAGAUCAACCGUUUGUUUGUUGGAUGAGAGAUGCUGAGCUUGGAUAAACAAAGGCCUGAAUCGUCAUCAUCGGAGGAGGUGCAAGCUGUGACUCCGUGGGUCGUCUCCGGUAAUGUCGAUCACGAGAAGGUGAUCGAAAAGUUCGGCUGCGAUAGGAUAGACGAGUCGCUGAUUGCAGUUGCAGGGGACAAGAACUGCCAAUGGUACGUCUUAUUCAUUGUUUUCACGUUAUUAAAGUAAAAAGAAAACAAAAUCUUACAAAAACUAUAUAGUUUCAUAUUUUAUCAUUACCCCUCAGAAAAUGAAGAGAAUUACAAGAAAUGCCACGAAGUGAUUUUGAGGAACCCUUGAGUUUCUUUCGGUCGUUUUCUCUCCCCAUGUCUCUUUGAUCCGAAACGUA